RNAcentral lists this ribosomal RNA (253 nucleotides) under uncultured bacterium. Its description in RNAcentral is "partial 16S ribosomal RNA". It matches the Rfam family "Bacterial small subunit ribosomal RNA", at positions 524 to 776 of the family's 1533-position model. The record is from RNAcentral.
UACGUAGGGGGCAAGCGUUGUCCGGAAUUAUUGGGCGUAAAGAGCUCGUAGGCGGUUUGUUACGUCUGCUGUGAAAACCUAGGGCUUAACCCUGGGCUUGCAGUGGAUACGGGCAGACUAGAGGUAGGUAGGGGAGAAUGGAAUUCCUGGUGUAGCGGUGAAAUGCGCAGAUAUCAGGAGGAACACCGGUGGCGAAGGCGGUUCUCUGGGCCUUACCUGACACUGAGGAGCGAAAGCGUGGGGAGCGAACAGG